RNAcentral lists this ribosomal RNA (253 nucleotides) under uncultured bacterium. Its description in RNAcentral is "partial 16S ribosomal RNA". It matches the Rfam family "Bacterial small subunit ribosomal RNA", at positions 524 to 776 of the family's 1533-position model. The record is from RNAcentral.
UACGAAGGGGGCUAGCGUUGCUCGGAAUCACUGGGCUUAAAGCGUGUGUAGGCGGACCCCUAAGUACCUUGUGAAAUCCCACGGCUCACCCGUGGAACCGCUGGGUAUACUGGGGGUCUUGGGCCACUCAGGGGCGACUGGAACAAGCGGUGGAGCGGUGAAAUGCGUAGAUAUCGCUUGGAACGCCGAAGGUGAAAACAGGUCGCUGGGAGUGCGCCGACGCUGAGACACGAAAGCCAGGGGAGCAAACGGG